Molecule: non-coding RNA, 203 nt
Filed under: Solanum tuberosum (potato)
Lineage: Eukaryota; Viridiplantae; Streptophyta; Magnoliopsida; Solanales; Solanaceae
Description: Bacterial small subunit ribosomal RNA
Rfam family: Bacterial small subunit ribosomal RNA
Source: Rfam by way of RNAcentral
AAGAGGUUUUGGAUACGAGAUAUGCAAAAAGAUAUCUCUCCCAUCUCUCUCAAAGCACGUGCUACAAUGGCCGGGACAAAGGGUCACGAUCCCGCGAGGGUGAGCUAACCCCAAAAACCCGUCCUCAGUUCGGAUUGCAGGCUGCAACUCGCCUGCAUGAAGCCGGAAUCGCUAGUAAUCGCCGGUCAGACGGACUUGCUUGC